GGAUUCCCCUAGUACUGCGAGUGAAGCGGGAAAAGCUCAAAUUUAAAAUCUGGUGGUCUCUGGCCUCCGAGUUGUAAUUUAGAGAAGCGUCUUCCGCGCCGGACCGUGCACAAGUCUCCUGGAAUGGAGCGUCAUAGAGGGUGAGAAUCCCGUCUUUGGCACGGAUGCCUGUGCUUCUGUGAUGCGCUCUCGAAGAGUCGAGUUGUUUGGGAAUGCAGCUCAAAAUGGGUGGUGAACUCCAUCUAAAGCUAAAUAUUGGCGAGAGACCGAUAGCGAACAAGUACCGUGAGGGAAAGAUGAAAAGCACUUUGGAAAGAGAGUGAAACAGUACGUGAAAUUGUUGAAAGGGAAACGCUUGAAGUCAGUCGCGUCGACCGAGACUCAGCCUUGCCUUGGCUUGGUGUACUUCUCGGCCCGACGGGUCAGCAUCAAUUUUGCCCCUCGGAUAAUGGCAAGGGAAAGGUGGCACCUUUGCAGGUGUGUUAUAGUCUCCUGUCGCAUGCGAGGGGUGGGAUUGAGGAACUCAGCGCGCACCUUGGUGUCGGGGCUUCGGCCCACGUCACGCGCUUAGGAUGCUGGCGUAAUGGCUUUAAACGACCCGUCUUGAAACACGGACCAAGGAGUCCAACACGCCCGCGAGUGUUCGGGUGGAAAACCCGUGCGCGCAAUGAAAGUGAAAGUUGGGACCUCUGUCGUGGAGGGCACCGACGCCCGGACCAGACCUUCUGUGACGGACUGCGGUAGAGCGUGUGUUUUGGGACCCGAAAGAUGGUGAACUAUGCCUGAAUAGGGUGAAGCCAGAGGAAACUCUGGUGGAGGCUCGUAGCGAUUCU
Molecule: ribosomal RNA, 833 nt
Filed under: uncultured Lactarius
Lineage: Eukaryota; Fungi; Basidiomycota; Agaricomycetes; Russulales; Russulaceae
Description: eukaryotic LSU rRNA
Rfam family: Eukaryotic large subunit ribosomal RNA
Source: RNAcentral